GGGGUGUUAGCUCAGUUGGUAGAGCGAUUGCUUCGCAUGCAGUAGGUCGGGAGUUCGAUUCUUCCACACUCCA
Non-coding RNA from Seminavis robusta, 73 nucleotides. Lineage: Eukaryota; Bacillariophyta; Bacillariophyceae; Naviculales; Naviculaceae. The record is from the annotation of a GenBank genome assembly.